AGGUCACGUUGGGCAGCCCUGCCCCAGACAUAUAAUAUUCGCAAGCGAGUAUUUCACAUUUCCGUGUCGUUUACUCGUCACGCCCCCGGUAUGUUAAG
Molecule: long non-coding RNA, 98 nt
Organism: Sebastes umbrosus (honeycomb rockfish)
Lineage: Eukaryota; Metazoa; Chordata; Actinopteri; Perciformes; Sebastidae
Exons: 4
Source: RefSeq, a predicted model, not a curated record